RNAcentral lists this ribosomal RNA (459 nucleotides) under Streptococcus mitis. Its description in RNAcentral is "bacterial SSU rRNA". It matches the Rfam family "Bacterial small subunit ribosomal RNA", at positions 28 to 472 of the family's 1533-position model. The record is from RNAcentral. Lineage: Bacteria; Bacillati; Bacillota; Bacilli; Lactobacillales; Streptococcaceae.
GACGAACGCGGCGGCGUGCCUAAUACAUGCAAGUAGAACGCUGAAGGAGGAGCUUGCUUCUCCGGAUGAGUUGCGAACGGGUGAGUAACGCGUAGGUAACCUGCCUGGUAGCGGGGGAUAACUAUUGGAAACGAUAGCUAAUACCGCAUAAGAGUAGAUGUUGCAUGACAUUUACUUAAAAGGUGCAAUUGCACCACUACCAGAUGGACCUGCGUUGUAUUAGCUAGUUGGUGGGGUAACGGCUCACCAAGGCGACGAUACAUAGCCGACCUGAGAGGGUGAUCGGCCACACUGGGACUGAGACACGGCCCAGACUCCUACGGGAGGCAGCAGUAGGGAAUCUUCGGCAAUGGACGAAAGUCUGACCGAGCAACGCCGCGUGAGUGAAGAAGGUUUUCGGAUCGUAAAGCUCUGUUGUAAGAGAAGAACGAGUGUGAGAGUGGAAAGUUCACACUGUGA